Molecule: non-coding RNA, 97 nt
Organism: Arvicanthis niloticus (Nile rat)
Lineage: Eukaryota; Metazoa; Chordata; Mammalia; Rodentia; Muridae
Source: RefSeq, a predicted model, not a curated record
AAGGUUUGCAGCUAUUUUAUUUACAAGUAUACAUUUAACACAAUGAAAUAAACACUGAUAUAUUGAAGCCUAGUUAAUAGUAGUGUAGAUAGGAAGA